AUCGAACGCUGGCGGAAUGCUUUACACAUACAAGUCGAACGGCAGCACGGACUUCGGUCUGCUGGCGAGUGGCGAACGGGUGAGUAAUGUAUCGGAACGUGCCAAGUCGUGGGGGAUAACGUAGUGAAAAUUACGCUAAUACCGCAGACGAUCCAGGGAUGAAAGCGGGGGAUCGUAAGACCUCGCGCGAUUGGAGCGGCCUAUAUCAGAUUAGGUAGUUGGUGGGGUAAAGGCCCACCAAGCCAACGAUCUGUAGCUGGUCUGAGAGGACGACCAGCCACACUGGAACUGAGACACGGUCCAGACUCCUACGGGAGGCAGCAGUGGGGAAUUUUGGACAAUGGGCGAAAUCCUGAUCCAGCCAUUCCGCGUGCAGGAUGAAGGCCCUCGGGUUGUAAACUGCUUUUGUACAGAACGAAAAGGUUUCUACUAAUACUAGGAGCUCAUGACGGUACUGUAAGAAUAAGCACCGGCUAACUACGUGCCAGCCGCCGCAGUAA
This 500-nucleotide ribosomal RNA is filed under the name uncultured bacterium. RNAcentral's name for it is "partial 16S ribosomal RNA". It matches the Rfam family "Bacterial small subunit ribosomal RNA", at positions 30 to 523 of the family's 1533-position model. The record is from RNAcentral.